Molecule: long non-coding RNA, 519 nt
Organism: Apis cerana (Asiatic honeybee)
Lineage: Eukaryota; Metazoa; Arthropoda; Insecta; Hymenoptera; Apidae
Source: RefSeq, a predicted model, not a curated record
UCGAUAUUAUGUACCUGAACAAUAACAGCAAGUCUUAAGGAAUCCUUUUGAAUAGAAUUCUUACAAUUUUUACAAGAAGAUCGCGAACUUUUUGCGUAUUCAACAGAAUAAGGUUCCAACAAUUAUUUACCUGUGAUGAGGACAAUCUAGAGAGAGAGUCGAUUACGUUGGGUACAAGUGCAAUGGGUGUGGGUUGACCGGAACUGCCGCCGCUACUGCUACUCACUCCCGAGACAGCCGACAUGACAGUCCCAGAGCCACCCACCACCUGUCACCACCCAUAUAUUUUUUUACUAAUUCUUAAAUUUUUAUUUACUUGAAUUUGUGAACCUGUAGCUUUUUAUAAAUAUCAAUAAAAACAGAAUGAUUUCGAUGAAAAUUUAUAGAAAAAAAUUAAUAUAUGCUGCUGUUAAUGGAUAAAUAGAAAAUAAAAUAUCUAAAUAUGAAUUAUAAAAUAAAUGUAUAAUUUAGAUUUUUUCUUCUUAUAAGAUUAAUAAAUUAAUCAUUUUUUAAAUGUAA